CGUGAGGAGAGAGGAUGGAGGCAGUGGCUGCGAGCCCUCCCUGGGUGGCCAACGUGUGACAAGUGUGUGUGCUCUCAUCAAAACCUUGGAUUAUUCUGUGAUUCGGCGUCAUCUGCCGUAAGACCGACGUCAUGGUCGCCCUGGCGGGAAAAGCGAGCUCUCAAAGGUAUGUAAAACUGAUCUUUUUCAUUUUUACUUUUGUCAUUCAUACCCUUUUUUAUGGAGUGUUAAUUUUUGCUUGAUUUGGCAGUGGGUUAUGAGGACAUAAAGGGCGGUGUUGAUAGUUGUUUUUAAUUUUUCAGUAUAUUUUAAAAUUUUAUGUGUAGUGAUAAAUGAAUAGAAAACAUUAUUUUAGUGUU
This is a long non-coding RNA of Penaeus monodon (black tiger shrimp), 359 nucleotides long. RefSeq lists it as uncharacterized. The record is from RefSeq and is a predicted model, not a curated record. NCBI's taxonomy places the organism in Eukaryota, Metazoa, Arthropoda, Malacostraca, Decapoda, Penaeidae. The transcript is spliced from 2 exons.